RNAcentral lists this non-coding RNA (196 nucleotides) under chicken gut metagenome. The record is from RNAcentral.
AGAACUGAUAUUCUGACAGGUGGAAUGACGGAGUAACGUCCUGAAACGCCUGCCCUAAAACUACGGCAAGCAUAGUUGAAGCAAUUAAGAUUAUGUUUGGAGCCCGUGAAGUCGGCAGAAGUUUGCCCAAACAGGAAAAGCUGUGGAAAGUGCCUUAGAGGUAAGGUAUGCAGAUGAUAUGUCGGGGGUCUAUAAA